Molecule: ribosomal RNA, 446 nt
Filed under: uncultured bacterium
Lineage: Bacteria
Description: bacterial SSU rRNA
Rfam family: Bacterial small subunit ribosomal RNA
Source: RNAcentral
AACGAACGCUGGCGGCAUGCCUAACACAUGCAAGUCGAACGAAGUCUUCGGACUUAGUGGCGCACGGGUGCGUAACGCGUGGGAAUCUGCCCUUGGGUGCGGAAUAACUUCUCGAAAGGGAUGCUAAUACCGCAUAAUGUCGUAAGACCAAAGAUUUAUCGCCCAAGGAUGAGCCCGCGUAAGAUUAGCUAGUUGGUGGGGUAAAAGCCUACCAAGGCGACGAUCUUUAGCUGGUCUGAGAGGAUGAUCAGCCACACUGGGACUGAGACACGGCCCAGACUCCUACGGGAGGCAGCAGUGGGGAAUAUUGGACAAUGGGCGAAAGCCUGAUCCAGCAAUGCCGCGUGAGUGAUGAGGCCCUAGGUGUAAAGCUCUUUACCAGGGAUGAUAAUGACAGUACCUGGAGAAUAAGCUCCGGCGUAACUCCGUGCCAGCAGCCGCGGUAA